RNAcentral lists this small RNA (106 nucleotides) under Klebsiella aerogenes. RNAcentral's name for it is "partial RtT sRNA". It matches the Rfam family "RtT RNA", at positions 28 to 130 of the family's 130-position model. From Rfam's summary of the family: This family represents a bacterial cis-regulatory element known as RtT RNA. The exact function of RtT is unknown although it is thought that it may be involved in changing the cellular response in relation to amino acid starvation. Lineage: Bacteria; Pseudomonadati; Pseudomonadota; Gammaproteobacteria; Enterobacterales; Enterobacteriaceae. The record is from RNAcentral.
AGCUUCGACUAAGGUUCGACUCGAGCGCCAGCGAGAGAACGUUGCCGCAGGCAACGGCCCGAAGGGCGAGGCGCUUUAGCGCCGAGUAAUCCUUCCCCCACCACCA